Molecule: long non-coding RNA, 273 nt
Organism: Poeciliopsis prolifica (blackstripe livebearer)
Lineage: Eukaryota; Metazoa; Chordata; Actinopteri; Cyprinodontiformes; Poeciliidae
Exons: 4
Source: RefSeq, a predicted model, not a curated record
GUUCUGGAAACAUGGCGGCGGACCGGAAGUGACUUUAUGGCGAAUCGGAAGUGAUUCCAUUCUACCGUCAACAGAAGCAAGAGAGCUAAAUUCGCUUUAAAACUUCUUCUUGCUUGUUUGUAGGCGAGAUGAGACGUUGAACCUGUUUGUCUUCAGCUGAGUCGGAAGAAGAGUUGGAGUAAGGAGUUUCCCUAAUCGUCCAGUUACCUGUGAAAAAGAAACGAUGAAGAUGUUGGAACAAGAGGAAGGAAAAAGUUUGACAGAAACAGUAAG